RNAcentral lists this long non-coding RNA (204 nucleotides) under Nicotiana benthamiana. RNAcentral's name for it is "long non-coding RNA (NBEN_LNC000151)". The record is from RNAcentral. Lineage: Eukaryota; Viridiplantae; Streptophyta; Magnoliopsida; Solanales; Solanaceae.
AAACAUAAUCCUUAAGGUAAGAAGGGGUAGUGUGAGGUCUGGUGGAUUUUCUGGGCAGGGGAACAGGCUGGGAAGCAGGUAAGUCAGGAGAGGAAGGAAGAGGAAUUGAGACAGGAGAGGAGCUAGUAGGAGAAGAAGGUGUAGGAGCAUUAGAAGAGGGUAAUGAAGGGGAAUAUUCAAAGAUGUCAUCAGAAAGAGGAGCAG